AGAGUUUGAUCCUGGCUCAGAACGAACGCUGGCGGCAGGCCUAACACAUGCAAGUCGAACGCGACCUUCGGGUCGAGUGGCGCACGGGUGAGUAACGCGUGGGAAUCUGCCCUGUGGUACGGAAUAACAUCGGGAAACUGGUGCUAAUACCGUAUAUCCCCUGAGGGGGAAAGAUUUAUCGCCAUGGGAGGAGCCCGCGU
This 200-nucleotide ribosomal RNA is filed under the name uncultured bacterium. RNAcentral describes it as "partial 16S ribosomal RNA". It matches the Rfam family "Bacterial small subunit ribosomal RNA", at positions 8 to 236 of the family's 1533-position model. The record is from RNAcentral.